Molecule: ribosomal RNA, 633 nt
Filed under: Stenotrophomonas sp. M67C9b
Lineage: Bacteria; Pseudomonadati; Pseudomonadota; Gammaproteobacteria; Lysobacterales; Lysobacteraceae
Description: bacterial SSU rRNA
Rfam family: Bacterial small subunit ribosomal RNA
Source: RNAcentral
UGCAGUCGAACGGCAGCACAGUAAGAGCUUGCUCUUAUGGGUGGCGAGUGGCGGACGGGUGAGGAAUACAUCGGAAUCUACCUUUUCGUGGGGGAUAACGUAGGGAAACUUACGCUAAUACCGCAUACGACCUUCGGGUGAAAGCAGGGGACCUUCGGGCCUUGCGCGGAUAGAUGAGCCGAUGUCGGAUUAGCUAGUUGGCGGGGUAAAGGCCCACCAAGGCGACGAUCCGUAGCUGGUCUGAGAGGAUGAUCAGCCACACUGGAACUGAGACACGGUCCAGACUCCUACGGGAGGCAGCAGUGGGGAAUAUUGGACAAUGGGCGCAAGCCUGAUCCAGCCAUACCGCGUGGGUGAAGAAGGCCUUCGGGUUGUAAAGCCCUUUUGUUGGGAAAGAAAAGCAGUCGGCUAAUACCCGGUUGUUCUGACGGUACCCAAAGAAUAAGCACCGGCUAACUUCGUGCCAGCAGCCGCGGUAAUACGAAGGGUGCAAGCGUUACUCGGAAUUACUGGGCGUAAAGCGUGCGUAGGUGGUUGUUUAAGUCUGUUGUGAAAGCCCUGGGCUCAACCUGGGAAUUGCAGUGGAUACUGGGCGACUAGAGUGUGGUAGAGGGUAGUGGAAUUCCCGGUGUA